Molecule: long non-coding RNA, 285 nt
Filed under: Phoenix dactylifera (date palm)
Lineage: Eukaryota; Viridiplantae; Streptophyta; Magnoliopsida; Arecales; Arecaceae
Description: long non-coding RNA (PDAC_LNC009134)
Source: RNAcentral
UUAAGAGUAUCUAUUAAACCCUACUGGCUCGCUCUCCAAAAAUCUGAGGAACCCCUAAAUCGGCAAAGGCGAUGGAGUGGAGGCACUGGAGCACGGGGCACUGCAAUCCCCUUCGGAAGCCAGGUAAGCCCCCUGCCUUCUCUCCCCCUGUUUUGUGCAAGACAACAAAGAAACAAAGAAAGAAGGGAGGAAGGGGAUUGUUGGCAGGCCGAGAGCCACCGGCGACGGCCAUCGGCUUCAGCCGUGAUCCCGUCGGCGCGGGCGUCGGCUGCUGGCAGACCAAGG